Molecule: ribosomal RNA, 376 nt
Filed under: uncultured bacterium
Lineage: Bacteria
Description: bacterial SSU rRNA
Rfam family: Bacterial small subunit ribosomal RNA
Source: RNAcentral
UACGGAGGGUGCAAGCGUUGUCCGGAAUCAUUGGGCGUAAAGAGUUCGUAGGUGGUAUGUUAAGUCUGGUGUUAAAGCCCGAAGCUCAACUUCGGUUCGGCACUGGAUACUGGCAAACUUGAAUGUGGUAGAGGUAAAGGGAAUUCCUGGUGUAGCGGUGAAAUGCGUAGAUAUCAGGAGGAACAUCGGUGGCGAAAGCGCUUUACUGGGCCAUUAUUGACACUGAGGAACGAAAGCCGGGGUAGCAAAUGGGAUUAGAUACCCCAGUAGUCCCGGCCGUAAACGAUGGAUACUAGGUGUUGCGGGUAUCGACCCCUGCAGUGCCAUAGCUAACGCGAUAAGUAUCCCGCCUGGGGAGUACGCACGCAAGUGUGAA